Molecule: ribosomal RNA, 797 nt
Filed under: Janetia sp. DBP-2014
Lineage: Eukaryota; Fungi; Ascomycota; Dothideomycetes; Capnodiales
Description: eukaryotic LSU rRNA
Rfam family: Eukaryotic large subunit ribosomal RNA
Source: RNAcentral
UAACGGCGAGUGAAGCGGCAACAGCUCAAAUUUGAAACCUGGCGCUUGCGUCCGGAUUGUAAUUUGCAGAGGAUGCUUCUGGGCAGCGGCCGGUCUAAGUUCCUUGGAACAGGACGUCAUAGAGGGUGAGAAUCCCGUAUGCGACCGGCGCGCACCCUUCACGUAGCUCCUUCGACGAGUCGAGUUGUUUGGGAAUGCAGCUCUAAAUGGGUGGUAAAUUCCAUCUAAAGCUAAAUAUUGGCCCGAGACCGAUAGCGCACAAGUAGAGUGAUCGAAAGAUGAAAAGCACUUUGGAAAGAGAGUUAAAAAGCACGUGAAAUUGUUGAAAGGGAAGCGCUUCCCACCAGACUCCGCGGCGGUGUUCCGCCGGCCUUUUGGCCGGUCCACUCGCCGCCGUGGGGCCAGCAUCGUCUGGGGCCGCCGGAUAAGACCGUUGCAAUGUAGCUCCCUCGGGAGUGUUAUAGGCAGCGGGGAUGCGGCGCGCCCCGGGCGAGGUCCGCGCUUCGGCAAGGAUGCUGGCGUAAUGGUGGGCAGCGGCCCGUCUUGAAACACGGACCAAGGAGUCUAACAUCUAUGCGAGUGUUCGGGUGUCAAACCCCUACGCGUAAUGAAAGUGAACGGAGGUGGGAGCUUCGGCGCACCAUCGACCGAUCCUGAUGUCCUCGGAUGGAUUUGAGUAAGAGCAUAGCUGUUGGGACCCGAAAGAUGGUGAACUAUGCCUGAAUAGGGUGAAGCCAGAGGAAACUCUGGUGGAGGCUCGCAGCGGUUCUGACGUGCAAAUCGAUCGUCAAAUUUGG